UGGGGAAUAUUGCACAAUGGGGGAAACCCUGAUGCAGCAACGCCGCGUGAGUGAAGAAGUAUUUCGGUAUGUAAAGCUCUAUCAGCAGGGAAGAAAAUGACGGUACCUGACUAAGAAGCCCCGGCUAACUACGUGCCAGCAGCCGCGGUAAUACGUAGGGGGCAAGCGUUAUCCGGAUUUACUGGGUGUAAAGGGAGCGCAGGCGGUCUGGCAAGUCUGAUGUGAAAUCCCGGGGCUCAACCCUGGAACUGCAUUGGAAACUGUCAGACUAGAGUGCCGGAGAGGUAAGUGGAAUUCCUAGUGUAGCGGUGAAAUGCGUAGAUAUUAGGAAGAACACCAGUGGCGAAGGCGGCUUACUGGACGGUAACUGACGCUGAGGCUCGAAAGCGUGGGGAGCAAACAGGAUUAGAUACCCUGGUAGU
Molecule: ribosomal RNA, 422 nt
Filed under: uncultured Lachnospiraceae bacterium
Lineage: Bacteria; Bacillati; Bacillota; Clostridia; Lachnospirales; Lachnospiraceae
Description: bacterial SSU rRNA
Rfam family: Bacterial small subunit ribosomal RNA
Source: RNAcentral